UUGGUAGGCAGGGUGAGAAUCCCAAGGCGCUUGAGAGAACUCGGGUGAAGGAACUAGGCAAAAUGGCACCGUAACUUCGGGAGAAGGUGCGCCCUUUAGCGUGGUCACAUGCGUGACUGAGCGUUGAAGGGUCGCAGUAACCUGGCCGCUGCGACUGUUUAUCAAAAACACAGCACUCUGCAAACACGAAAGUGGACGUAUAGGGUGUGACGCCUGCCCGGUGCUGGAAGGUUAAUUGAUGGGGUCAGCCGCAAGGCGAAGCUCUUGAUCGAAGCCCCAGUAAACGGCGGCCGUAACAAUAACGGUCCUAAGGUAGCGAAAUUCCUUGUCGGGUAAGUUCCGACCUGCACGAAUGGCGUAACGACAGCGGCGCUGUCUCCACCCGAGACUCAGUGAAAUUGAAUUCGCUGUGAAGAUGCAGCGUUCCCGCGGCAAGACGGAAAGACCCCGUGAACCUUUACUAUAGCUUUACAUUGAACGUUGAGUUCUUCUGUGUAGGAUAGGUGGGAGGCUUUGAAGUGCAGGCGCUAGCUUGCAUGGAGCCAACCUUGAAAUACCACCCUGAAGUGCUUGACGUUCUAACCUCGACCCGUCAUCCGGGUCAGGGACCAUGUAUGGUGGGUAGUUUGACUGGGGCGGUCUCCUCCCAAAGAGUAACGGAGGAGCACGAAGGUACGCUCAGCGCGGUCGGACAUCGCGCACUGUGUGCAAUGGCAUAAGCGUGCUUGACUGCGAGAUCGACGGAUCAAGCAGGUACGAAAGUAGGUCAUAGUGAUCCGGUGGUUCUGUAUGGAAGGGCCAUCGCUCAACGGAUAAAAGGUACUCCGGGGAUAACAGGCUGAUACCGCCCAAGAGUUCAUAUCGACGGCGGUGUUUGGCACCUCGAUGUCGGCUCAUCACAUCCUGGGGCUGUAGCCGGUCCCAAGGGUAUGGCUGUUCGCCAUUUAAAGUGGUACGCGAGCUGGGUUCAGAACGUCGUGAGACAGUUCGGUCCCUAUCUGUCGUGGGCGUUGGAGAUUUGAGGGGGGCUGCUCCUAGUACGAGAGGACCGGAGUGGACGUUCCGCUGGUGUUCGGGUUGUCAUGCCCAUGGCAUUGCCCGGUAGCUAUGAACGGAAGUGAUAACCGCUGAAAGCAUCUAAGCGGGAAGCACGCCCCAAGAUGAGAUCUCCCGAGAGCUUGACUCUCCUUAAGGCACCAUCAAGACCAGGUGGUUGAUAGGUCAGGUGUGGAAGUGCAGCAAUGCAUGGAGCUAACUGAUACUAAUGAGCCGUGAGGCUUGACCG
RNAcentral lists this ribosomal RNA (1285 nucleotides) under metagenome. RNAcentral describes it as "bacterial LSU rRNA". It matches the Rfam family "Bacterial large subunit ribosomal RNA", at positions 1660 to 2925 of the family's 2925-position model. The record is from RNAcentral.